ACUCCUACGGGAGGCAGCAGUGAGGAAUUUUGGACAAUGGGCGCAAGCCUGAUCCAGCAAUGCCGCGUGCAGGAUGAAGGCCUUCGGGUUGUAAACUGCUUUUGUACGGAACGAAACGGCGAGCUCUAAUACAGUUUGCUAAUGACGGUACCGUAAGAAUAAGCACCGGCUAACUACGUGCCAGCAGCCGCGGUAAU
This 197-nucleotide ribosomal RNA is filed under the name uncultured beta proteobacterium. Its description in RNAcentral is "partial 16S ribosomal RNA". It matches the Rfam family "Bacterial small subunit ribosomal RNA", at positions 335 to 524 of the family's 1533-position model. The record is from RNAcentral. Lineage: Bacteria; Pseudomonadati; Pseudomonadota; Betaproteobacteria.